Long non-coding RNA from Pipra filicauda (Wire-tailed manakin), 198 nucleotides. RefSeq lists it as uncharacterized. The transcript has 2 exons. The record is from RefSeq and is a predicted model, not a curated record. NCBI's taxonomy places the organism in Eukaryota, Metazoa, Chordata, Aves, Passeriformes, Pipridae.
CUGACCCAAGCAGCAGAUGGGAGGGAGUGACUCACCACCCCACAGCCAAGUCACUGAAUCAUAGCAUUUAGAAGCAGAGGCGUGCCAUGAGACCAACUCUACGCUUCUCUACAUUUGUUCCUUCCUAGAAAAAGCGGGUUGGAGGUGUUCCCAGGAAAAUUCAGCCCCAGCUCAAAGCAAUAAAAAAGAUGUCUCUGA